UAAAAUUAUUUAUUGUUUGCAGGUGUGUCAUAGUGCUUGUUUGGAGGUCACUGGAAAACUUGUAGCAAUUAUUUCUUUCCAACGUGUGGGUUCUGAAGACUGAACUCAGGUCAUCAGACUUGACAGCACAUGCUUGAAUCCGCUGAGUCACAUAUCUGGCUUUCCUCCUUACUUUCUGAGUUCAGGGUCCCUUUCCAAGAGACCAACCCUCUCUACAGUCAGUCUGAUUCUUCCAAUAACAAUGAACAUGAUCAAGAUAAUUCUUCACAGUGAUGCCUGGAGUUCCAUCACCAAGCUCCUACCUCCUAAGGAUUCCAUUGCCCAUGAGAAAAGGACCACAAUUUGGAAAUAAUCAUUUGAUACAUGGCCUUAUAGGGGACAUUACAGAACAAAACCACGUCGGGACUGUAUGUAACACCACUAAUAGACUAUACUAUAGUAUAAUGCUUUGUCGUAUUCCUGUGGUCUAGAAUAGAAGUUGCAAGUAUGCAGCAAUAUUUAAAUCAUAAAAAAACUUAAAAAGAAGAUAAUAAAAUCUCUCUAGAAAAUUUGAGGUACCAAAACAAUCUUUUAUUAUUAGGCCAGUAAAUAAUUAUUGCAAUAAAAGUGCACCUUAAUAUGACCUACAAGUUUUGCCCAGGGAAGGCUAAGUAUUUAGAAACAAUUUUUUAUUGUUUGUUUAUUUUGUGUAUAUGAGUACACUGUAGCUGUCUUUAGACACACCAGAAGAGGGCAUCAUAUCCCAUUACAGAUGGUUGUGAACCACCAUGUGUUUUCUGGGAAUUGAACUCGGGACCUCUGGAAGAACAGUCAGUGUUCUUAACCACCAAGCCACCGCUCCAGCCCCUAGAAACAACUUGUAAAUUCACCUGUGAUCUGUUUGUGCUUGUGUUGCUGAUUGCUAAAGCCCCUUGAGUGUAAAGCAAGCUAUCUACCACUUGAUAUGGCUCUAGCCCUCUUUUAUACUUUCUGAGACAGCAUCUAAGAAGGUUUCCUAUGCUGGCCUUGAACUUGAGAUCUUUCUGCCUAAGGCUCAGAGGCUGGAAUUCAAGUCUCUACCACCAGUCCCAGCUUCUCUGCACUUUUAUAUAAGGAUAUCUUCUACUUCCUACAAUAAUAAUAUAGCAGGAAUAUCCACUAAAAUGAAAGAGAAAAGAAAAACAAAAGAGUGCCUUCUUUCUGUGCAUCUCCUGGGUGAAUUACUAUGUGACACUUCCUAUGCUGACGGUAAUUAUUAAACGGUGCUCUCACUUGU
Molecule: long non-coding RNA, 1255 nt
Organism: Mus musculus (house mouse)
Lineage: Eukaryota; Metazoa; Chordata; Mammalia; Rodentia; Muridae
Product: predicted gene, 40642
Exons: 3
Source: RefSeq, a predicted model, not a curated record